GUUAUCUGGUAGAGUGAAUUAUUUGCAGUGUAAACUGUGUAAUUUAGGAAUAAAAAGUACACCAUAAAAAUCAAGACAGAAUCCCUUUAAUAAACAGGUUGAUCACUUGCAAAGAUAUACCUUAUUAUGGUACAGUUUUGCACCAACCUUUUUAUAUCGACUUAAUUGGUAAAUUAAAGAAGUAAACAGAAGACAUCUGGAAGUGGUUCAAUAUUUAAGCACAAUCCAAUUUGCAAGGUGUUUAUUUAUAAAUAAUGAGACACAAAAUAUAUCCUUUCAUUAGUAGCCACUUGAUCCAAGAAGAUAUGCGGGUGACUGAGACAGCUGUGUCUUUAAUCUACCCUUAUAUGGUUUCAGAUAAAUCCUUUUCUUUUCUCAGAUCGCCCGUGAGCUUAACCAGUUUGGAUUUGACCUGUUUGUAAAGGCUCAAAUGGUGAGCGUGGAUUUUCCCGAAAUGAUGUCAGAUGUGUGUGAAAAAAUUAGGACACCCCAUUAAAUAUUCAGUUCUUUAUUAAGAAAUGUUCACAUAUUGAUGUCUUAUCUUGUUUUAUUUAUCUCUGGAAAAGAAAGUGAUUUCAAUUAACCUUGAUUUACUCAUUCAACAAAUAUAUCAACAAAAAUGUGUAUUCUAACAGAGGAAAAUGUUAGGAUACCCUACCCCCUAAUAGCUUUGGCUUCAGCCAAAACUAUUAGGGGUGAUAACUGCAGUGAGAUGUUUCUUGUAGCCACCUACCAGUCUCUGACAUUGGUCUGAGGAAAGUUUGCCCCACUCCUCAGUGCAGAAUUCUUUCAGCUGUGAGAUAUUUAAGGGUUUUCUUACAUGUUGUCAGGUACUCACCGCAGGACGCGACGAUCGGCGCUUGCGACUCCAGCGUUGUGCGUUCCAGCGUGCGUGUCAGUGACAUCACGAUAAGGCGCUGCACGGAUUCCAGGGAGCCAGGCGGCGCAGCGUGAUGACGUAGGCGUCUCCAUUUAAGUCUGCACAGAGGGGGAUUCCAGUGCUCGGACAUCGUGUUUCCUGGCUACUUUUGAGUAAGUUACUCUCUUACAUAUAUUUGAACUUGGUUUUUGACUUGCUUCUGCACCCUGACUAUUCUAUUGAAUUAACCCUUGGAACCCUGCUUGGAUUUGAAUCUCUGUUGCCAACCCUGCUUGCUGUUUAACCAUUCUCCUGCAUUAACCCUUGGAACUCUGUUUUGGACUUGAACCUCUGUUGCCAACUCUGCUUGCUGCCUGACUAUCCCUCUGUGUUAACCCUUGAUACUUCGCUGUGGACUGAUUAUUGUUGCCGACCUUGCCUGCCUUCUGACCACUCCGCUACGCUUAUCCUUGAUACAUAAACUGUGAUUUACUGUUGCCGACCCUGCUUGUCUGAAGCCUCCACUACUGUUAACCCUUGUUAUCCAGCCUGGAGGCUACUACUCUAUCGUUUGGAACGCCUGCCUAAUCUCUCUGCGCUGUGAAGUUCGUGAUCAAACUUAACUCUGGGCGGAUCUUCAACUCUUGUUGGUCUCCACGCCUGAGCCUGUGUUCAUCUGACAUCAAGGUGCCUUCUAGAACCUUCCCCCGCUACUACAGACCUUCGCUUCCUUUGGCGAUCGCCAUUAAUCCUGUAUUCCUUGUACCUUGCAGUCACGUUAUCCAGCGCCGAAGUCACACUACAGAUCGGUGUAUCCAGCUAAGAUUACAGGCUCCCAUACGUCAUCUUCACUGGCAUCCCUCCGUACCUAUUUGGGGGUAGAUCUGGUGAGGGAGCUGUAUGGGUUGUCUUCCUCAACAAAUUUUAUAAAAUUAUGGAAUGGUAGAAAUAUAUACUAAUGCUAUUCCUUCUCCUUUCAGAUAAAAACUUUGUUAUGAGAUCCCUUCAGGGACAGAUAUUCACCUUUAUAUUUCAUCACUUCCAGCACUACGUGAAGUCAAAAUAAAGGACUACCACUUAUGGACUUUAACUGAUCUUUUAUUAUGUUCUUUUUGAUGGGCAUUUUUGAUAAAAAUAUUUUCACUAAAUUUUUCUACUAAACAGGUUUUUACUGCAAUAUCUUUUAACAUUGUCCUUUUUAACUGCAUUUUCCACUAUGAAAUUUUAUAUCAGUGUAUUGUUAAUUGGCACCUGGAUGCAUAUUUUUUCACUUUAACAUUGCAUUUUAAAUGGCAUCUUGAUAUGUAAAAAUCUUUUUCAAUGCAAAGUACUUUUUUCACAGCAAUGCUUGUUAAAUAUGCUAAUUUGUUAAUUGCACACCCUUUAAAUCAUGUCUGCACUUGUCCACACUAUGCUUGACAAAGGGGCGUGACCCCGAAACGUUGCACUACUGCAUAAUAAAAUUGCAAGGGCUUGCCCUGCUACUACAAUUCCUGUGUGCCGGUGAAAUUCUUCUUACCCUUGUCUUCCUCAACAUCUGUGGUUCCACCUGGAUCGAUGGUCUGACAUGUUCCUCAAGCACCCUCUCAUACACAGUAGAUUCUAUGAUGGCGAGCUGGCCAGGUCCUGCUGCAGAAAAACAUCCCCAAACUAUGACACUUCCACCUCCAUGCUUUACAAAUCCUUUCACUGCACAAGGUUAAUGCUGGUCAAAGAAUGGGUUAAAAACAAUAGUAUAAGCUGUUAGUGUAUAGAUCCUGGGGAAUAUCUGCUGCUUAUUUUCUUCUUAUAAUUUGUAGAUGGACAAAAAAAAAAGCAACAAAUAAAAUGUUUGUUUUUUUUUGGUUUUUAUUCGUUUUUAAAAAUGCUACAGCUGUCAUUUUAUAAUGUAUAUAAAAUUCUAUGUAUAUGUAUAAAAUGUAUAUGGAUUGAUAUAUCGCAAGCAAUCUGCAUCUUGUCUUUCUUUUUGGUUUGGCUUGACACACCUAUAAAGUUGAGUGUGAUUGUGUGUCCUGCUUGUAAAAUGUUUUUGUGUGCCAAAUGGGGCAGCAGUCAGGGUAAUCUAAUCAUACCGGGAUGCGCAGAACAAGUCACCGUGACCUCUUUGCAGAUAAGGGACGUUCCACAGGAUUCACAUGAAAUAAAACAUGAUGGAAAUUGGUGAGAAAAUUACAUGAUUAUGAAGAGGUAGAGAUAUUCAGUGAACAUGUACCUUGUAUUGUGUGUGUGUGAGAUAGCACCAAUCGAACUUCAAUUUAGCAUUUGUAAUGCUUUACCAGUCAUUGUCCCGUUUCUCAUCUUCCUAUUCUGUCAUUUAAUAAUUCAAAAGGACAUUACUUAAAAGUAAAACUACUAUAGAAAAACCUAAAUUUUACAUUUCCUGAUUUUGAUCUUUUUCUCACUAUAUGACUUUAUUCGUGGGCCUACCUAUACAGUAUAUAAAGCAUAAUGCAUUUCUUUGAUUUUAUAUUUUCCUGGAUUUUGCAUUAUUUUUCUGGUCCCCUGAAAAAACCUAAAAUGAGGUUUCUAUUGUUAUAUAUCCAGAAUGCUUGGGGCCUGGGUUUUCAAGAUAAGGGAUCAUUUUGUAUUUUGGAACACCCUGCCUUAAGUCUGAUAAGAAAU
Xenopus laevis (African clawed frog) is the source of this 3481-nucleotide long non-coding RNA. RefSeq lists it as uncharacterized. NCBI's taxonomy places the organism in Eukaryota, Metazoa, Chordata, Amphibia, Anura, Pipidae. The record is from RefSeq and is a predicted model, not a curated record. The transcript is spliced from 4 exons.